RNAcentral lists this unclassified non-coding RNA (344 nucleotides) under soil metagenome. RNAcentral describes it as "partial contains 5.8S ribosomal RNA, internal transcribed spacer 2, and large subunit ribosomal RNA". The stretch from base 1 to 119 matches the Rfam family "5.8S ribosomal RNA", at positions 35 to 154 of the family's 154-position model. The record is from RNAcentral.
GAUGAAGAACGUAGCGAAAUGCGAUACGUAAUGUGAAUUGCAGAAUUCAGUGAAUCAUCGAGUCUUGAACGCACAUUGCGCCCCCUGGUAUUCCGGGGGGCAUGCCUGUCCGAGCGUCAUUGCUGCCCUCAAGCACGGCUUGUGUGUUGGGCCUCCGUCCUCCUCCCGGGGGACGGGCCCGAAAGGCAGCGGCGGCACCGCGUCCGGUCCUCGAGCGUAUGGGGCUUCGUCACCCGCUCUUGUAGGCCCGGCCGGCGCUUGCCGACACAUCAAUCUUUUUUCCAGGUUGACCUCGGAUCAGGUAGGGAUACCCGCUGAACUUAAGCAUAUCAAUAAGCGGAGGA